AUUGAACGCUGGCGGCAUGCUUUUCACAUGCAAGUCGAACGGCAGCGCGGGCUUCGGCCUGGCGGCGAGUGGCGAACGGGUGAGUAAUACAUCGGAACGUGCCCAGUAGUGGGGGAUAGCUCGGCGAAAGCCGGAUUAAUACCGCAUACGACCUGAGGGUGAAAGCGGGGGAUCUUCGGACCUCGCGCUAUUGGAGCGGCCGAUGGCAGAUUAGCUAGUUGGUGGGGUAAAGGCCUACCAAGGCGACGAUCUGUAGCUGGUCUGAGAGGACGACCAGCCACACUGGGACUGAGACACGGCCCAGACUCCUGCGGGAGGCAGCAGUGGGGAAUUUUGGACAAUGGGCGAAAGCCUGAUCCAGCAAUGCCGCGUGUGUGAUGAAGGCCUUCGGGUUGUAAAGCACUCUUGGCGGGAACGAAAGGGACUGUGCCAAUACCACGGUUCCGAUGACGGACCCGCAGAAUAAGCCCCGCAUU
This 476-nucleotide ribosomal RNA is filed under the name Lautropia mirabilis. RNAcentral's name for it is "bacterial SSU rRNA". It matches the Rfam family "Bacterial small subunit ribosomal RNA", at positions 29 to 499 of the family's 1533-position model. The record is from RNAcentral. Lineage: Bacteria; Pseudomonadati; Pseudomonadota; Betaproteobacteria; Burkholderiales; Burkholderiaceae.